RNAcentral lists this ribosomal RNA (414 nucleotides) under Triticum aestivum (bread wheat). RNAcentral describes it as "partial small subunit ribosomal RNA". Lineage: Eukaryota; Viridiplantae; Streptophyta; Magnoliopsida; Poales; Poaceae. The record is from RNAcentral.
AUGGAGCCCAAUAAGGAUGCCAAGCCUCUGUCCCCAAAGGCACUCUCUCCACCAGAACCAUUCGUGCUCGACUACCUCGACUACCCCGACAGCUCACCUAUCUCUCCCUCCUUUCCAGCCAAAAGGAAGCCCUCGCCACUGAUCUACCAACUUGUAUCAUCCGACGAUGAGAAAGCAAACCCACAGAACAAACUCAAUGAAGCCUAUGAAGACAAAGCUUUUCAGCAGGAAAGAGACGGUGACCUCUCUUGGCUAGAAGAAAUAGACCAGUUGAGAGGCCAGAGUUACCCACCAGCAAGAGAGUUCAAGGCAGGCGAGCUUCAACCAUGUAUGAAGAGAAGCAAGACGAUCAACAAGGUGGCAAAGAAAGGUACAAGUGCCGAAGAAGCAAUCGAGAUCUCAUCUUCCGACUGA